ACCCGCGCCUCUCCCUCCACACCUCUGUGCAAGCUGAGGGAGCCGGCUCCGGCCUCGGCCAGCCCAGAAAAGGGCUCCCGCAGUGCAGCGGCGGGCUGAAGGGCUGCUGAAGCGCGGCAAGAGUGGGCGCCUAGGCCAAGGAGGCGCGGAGAGCGAGCGAGGCCUGUGAGUGCUGCCAGCACGCCGUCACCUCUCAAUAUGACUUAGGGAUCAUGGCUUAUUUGAGCUGUUGCUCCUCAGUGGACAUCAUAGGAUCUUGCAGAUGUGUAUCAAUCCUUCGCAAGUAGGGAGAGCUCCCUUGGUUACGACAGUCUUAAAGAUCUCCUGUUACAUAAAUUUGACAGUAAGUUAUCAACAUUACAACUAAGAAGCCUAACCAUUUGGAAUUUAAAACUCCUGUAUCAGUCUGCCCUGGAGUCAUUCUGGGAUGAGUCAAGUGGUCAGACACUGUCUCACUGGAUGAGAAACAUGAUCAUGUCUGAGUACCAGGAAUAACAAUUCUAAAAAUGGACAGAUCUAAUUCAUUCAAUAUUUCAGUGAUGGCCAAGUGACGCAUGCUGGGAGGGCUCAACCUCUACGCCUGGAAACUUGGCUCUUUGGGAAGAUGUGGCAAUGCAAAUUUGUUGAAGAUGAAGGAUAUAUCACUCUUCUGGAAUGAAUGGAAUGAAUGGAAUGUCUAGCCAGAGACCUUUCAGAAAUCUUAAUAAUUGUGGCAAUUUUUUUUUCUUAACUGUUCACUUCUCUUAACAAAAGAAAAGCCACUGCAAUGCCCCACCUAUUCCCCUCACACAUGUCUGUUCUUGAUACUAAUUUUUACAUUUUGACAUUUAAAUAGUAACUAUAAUUAUCCACAUUUUUUCUUCUUUGGGCAAUUACAUUUGCAUUCUUAGUGAAGAACUGUAAAACCAAAUGGAUGGACCAAAAAAAUGGUUUAAACAGAAGUCGUACAAACAUGCAUAUUUGAAAGAGGAGAUUCUUAUAACUACAUAAAAUAAAUAAUGUAAUAUCUUCUAUUUAUACUUUCCAGUAGAUUAAGUGCUGAGGACACAGUCAACAAAAACAACAUUAUAUGUUUCUACUGGCAAUAUCCCUGGUGUUGCCUAAUUGGUUGAAUUUCAAACCAUUAUCUUUAAAGAAGCAUCUCUAUAGGUAUAGUUAGUUCUUCUUUGCUUUCUGCCAGAGAAGCCUGCAGAACACAAUCAAGGGAUAUUGAUGUUCAAAGAAAAGAAUGGCCUGACAAUUCAAACAACAUACCUAAAAUUUUUUACGUUCUAAGAAAAUAGAUGCUGUGUUGCAUUUUUGUGCAUCUUUGUACCUCCUUGGUUGAUAACAAAGUAAGUUUUCUAGCACUGCCUCUGGGUUCUUUCUAAGUAGAGACUUGUCCUGUAACAAGAUGAAUGAAAGUAUGAGCAGAUAAAUAAUGUGCAUACAACGUAGAAUGAAACUUUUAAAAUUAACGUAGCAACUUCAAAAGACUUAAAAAAUGAAAAUUCCAUGGAAAAAUUUUAAUAUGCCUUAUUAUCCUCCAAUAUUUGUAGACCUCAGAAAAAAGUUGUUUCUCAUUCUGUUGAACAUAUAUUUAUGAAUUUUGUUCAAAUGCAAAAAUCAACUAAUGGCUAAUGUCUAAAAAUAAGAAAACAUAUUAGCUAAUAAAAGACUUUUGGGAAAAUGUUAA
RNAcentral lists this long non-coding RNA (1675 nucleotides) under Homo sapiens (human). RNAcentral describes it as "uncharacterized LOC105374557, transcript variant 3 (LOC105374557)". Lineage: Eukaryota; Metazoa; Chordata; Mammalia; Primates; Hominidae. The record is from RNAcentral.